Molecule: ribosomal RNA, 488 nt
Filed under: uncultured bacterium
Lineage: Bacteria
Description: bacterial SSU rRNA
Rfam family: Bacterial small subunit ribosomal RNA
Source: RNAcentral
AGAGUUUGAUCAUGGCUCAGGACGAACGCUGGCGGCGUGCCUAAUGCAUGCAAGUCGCACGCAGCACCUUCGGGUGCUGAGUGGCGCACGGCUGAGGAACACGUGGGAACCAGCCCUCCAGUGGGGGAUAACGGCGCGAAAGCGCCGCUAAUCCCGCAUACGUUCGGCCCAUUCGGGUCGAGGAAAGCCUAACGGCGCUGGAGGCUGGGCCCGCGGCCCAUCAGGUUGUUGGUGGGGUAACGGCCUACCAAGCCACUGACGGGUAGCUGGUCUGUGAGGACAACCAGCCAGACUGGGACUGAGACACGGCCCAGACUCCUACGGGAGGCAGCAGCAAGGAAUUUUCGGCAAUGGGCGCAAGCCUGACCGAGCAACGCCGCGUGCAGGACGACGGCCUUCGGGUUGUAAACUGCUUUUGGGGGGGAAGAAACGGACGGUACCCCCCGAAUAAGCCACGGCUAACUCUGUGCCAGCCGCCGCGGUAAUAC